GUGCUUACUUUGGCAGCACAUAUACUAAAAUUAGAAUAGUUUCAGCAUUAGCAUGGCCCCUGCGCAAGAAUGACAUGCAAAUUAUGAAGUGUUCCCUAUUUUU
Molecule: small nuclear RNA, 103 nt
Organism: Cebus imitator (Panamanian white-faced capuchin)
Lineage: Eukaryota; Metazoa; Chordata; Mammalia; Primates; Cebidae
Source: RefSeq, a predicted model, not a curated record